RNAcentral lists this ribosomal RNA (1680 nucleotides) under Salmonella enterica subsp. enterica serovar Typhimurium. RNAcentral's name for it is "partial 23S ribosomal RNA". It matches the Rfam family "Bacterial large subunit ribosomal RNA", at positions 1163 to 2802 of the family's 2925-position model. Lineage: Bacteria; Pseudomonadati; Pseudomonadota; Gammaproteobacteria; Enterobacterales; Enterobacteriaceae. The record is from RNAcentral.
UAAAGCGAUUCAGCGGGUUACGAUUGACGGAGCGAAGCGACGUCAAAGCGUAUACAAAGUCGAGUCGGUUUAAGGAUACGUUCGUUGGGUAGGGGAGCGUUCUGUAAGCCCGUGAAGGUGGCCUGUGAGGGUUGCUGGAGGUAUCAGAAGUGCGAAUGCUGACAUAAGUAACGAUAAAGCGGGUGAAAAGCCCGCUCGCCGGAAGACCAAGGGUUCCUGUCCAACGUUAAUCGGGGCAGGGUGAGUCGACCCCUAAGGCGAGGCCGAAAGGCGUAGUCGAUGGGAAACGGGUUAAUAUUCCCGUACUUGGUGUUACUGCGAAGGGGGGACGGAGAAGGCUAUGUUGGCCGGGCGACGGUUGUCCCGGUUUAAGCGUGUAGGUGUGUGUUCCAGGUAAAUCCGGUUCACUUUAACACUGAGGCGUGAUGACGAGGCACUACGGUGCUGAAGCAACAAAUGCCCUGCUUCCAGGAAAAGCCUCUAAGCAUCAGGUAACAUCAAAUCGUACCCCAAACCGACACAGGUGGUCAGGUAGAGAAUACCAAGGCGCUUGAGAGAACUCGGGUGAAGGAACUAGGCAAAAUGGUGCCGUAACUUCGGGAGAAGGCACGCUGACACGUAGGUGAAGUGAUUUACUCACGGAGCUGAAGUCAGUCGAAGAUACCAGCUGGCUGCAACUGUUUAUUAAAAACACAGCACUGUGCAAACACGAAAGUGGACGUAUACGGUGUGACGCCUGCCCGGUGCCGGAAGGUUAAUUGAUGGGGUCAGCGCAAGCGAAGCUCCUGAUCGAAGCCCCGGUAAACGGCGGCCGUAACUAUAACGGUCCUAAGGUAGCGAAAUUCCUUGUCGGGUAAGUUCCGACCUGCACGAAUGGCGUAAUGAUGGCCAGGCUGUCUCCACCCGAGACUCAGUGAAAUUGAACUCGCUGUGAAGAUGCAGUGUACCCGCGGCAAGACGGAAAGACCCCGUGAACCUUUACUAUAGCUUGACACUGAACAUUGAGCCUUGAUGUGUAGGAUAGGUGGGAGGCUUUGAAGCGUGGACGCCAGUCUGCGUGGAGCCGACCUUGAAAUACCACCCUUUAAUGUUUGAUGUUCUAACGUGGACCCGUAAUCCGGGUUGCGGACAGUGUCUGGUGGGUAGUUUGACUGGGGCGGUCUCCUCCUAAAGAGUAACGGAGGAGCACGAAGGUUGGCUAAUCCUGGUCGGACAUCAGGAGGUUAGUGCAAUGGCAUAAGCCAGCUUGACUGCGAGCGUGACGGCGCGAGCAGGUGCGAAAGCAGGUCAUAGUGAUCCGGUGGUUCUGAAUGGAAGGGCCAUCGCUCAACGGAUAAAAGGUACUCCGGGGAUAACAGGCUGAUACCGCCCAAGAGUUCAUAUCGACGGCGGUGUUUGGCACCUCGAUGUCGGCUCAUCACAUCCUGGGGCUGAAGUAGGUCCCAAGGGUAUGGCUGUUCGCCAUUUAAAGUGGUACGCGAGCUGGGUUUAGAACGUCGUGAGACAGUUCGGUCCCUAUCUGCCGUGGGCGCUGGAGAACUGAGGGGGGCUGCUCCUAGUACGAGAGGACCGGAGUGGACGCAUCACUGGUGUUCGGGUUGUCAUGCCAAUGGCACUGCCCGGUAGCUAAAUGCGGAAGAGAUAAGUGCUGAAAGCAUCUAAGCACGAAACUUGCCCCGA